Molecule: ribosomal RNA, 2923 nt
Filed under: Klebsiella pneumoniae
Lineage: Bacteria; Pseudomonadati; Pseudomonadota; Gammaproteobacteria; Enterobacterales; Enterobacteriaceae
Description: bacterial LSU rRNA
Rfam family: Bacterial large subunit ribosomal RNA
Source: RNAcentral
GGGUUGUGAGGUUAAGCGACUAAGCGUACACGGUGGAUGCCCUGGCAGUCAGAGGCGAUGAAGGACGUGCUAAUCUGCGAAAAGCGUCGGUAAGGUGAUAUGAACCGUUAUAACCGGCGAUGUCCGAAUGGGGAAACCCAGUGCAAUUCGUUGCACUAUCGUUAACUGAAUACAUAGGUUAACGAGGCGAACCGGGGGAACUGAAACAUCUAAGUACCCCGAGGAAAAGAAAUCAACCGAGAUUCCCCCAGUAGCGGCGAGCGAACGGGGAGCAGCCCAGAGUCUGAAUCAGCUUGUGUGUUAGUGGAACGGUCUGGAAAGUCCGACGGUACAGGGUGAUAGUCCCGUACACCAAAAUGCACAGGCUGUGAACUCGAAGAGUAGGGCGGGACACGUGGUAUCCUGUCUGAAUAUGGGGGGACCAUCCUCCAAGGCUAAAUACUCCUGACUGACCGAUAGUGAACCAGUACCGUGAGGGAAAGGCGAAAAGAACCCCGGCGAGGGGAGUGAAAAAGAACCUGAAACCGUGUACGUACAAGCAGUGGGAGCACCUUCGGGUGUGACUGCGUACCUUUUGUAUAAUGGGUCAGCGACUUAUAUUCUGUAGCAAGGUUAACCGUAUAGGGGAGCCGCAGGGAAACCGAGUCUUAACUGGGCGUUAAGUUGCAGGGUAUAGACCCGAAACCCGGUGAUCUAGCCAUGGGCAGGUUGAAGGUUGGGUAACACUAACUGGAGGACCGAACCGACUAAUGUUGAAAAAUUAGCGGAUGACUUGUGGCUGGGGGUGAAAGGCCAAUCAAACCGGGAGAUAGCUGGUUCUCCCCGAAAGCUAUUUAGGUAGCGCCUCGUGAAUUCAUCUUCGGGGGUAGAGCACUGUUUCGGCUAGGGGGUCAUCCCGACUUACCAACCCGAUGCAAACUACGAAUACCGAAGAAUGUUAUCACGGGAGACACACGGCGGGUGCUAACGUCCGUCGUGAAGAGGGAAACAACCCAGACCGCCAGCUAAGGUCCCAAAGUCAUGGUUAAGUGGGAAACGAUGUGGGAAGGCACAGACAGCCAGGAUGUUGGCUUAGAAGCAGCCAUCAUUUAAAGAAAGCGUAAUAGCUCACUGGUCGAGUCGGCCUGCGCGGAAGAUGUAACGGGGCUAAACCAUGCACCGAAGCUGCGGCAGCGACACUAUGUGUUGUUGGGUAGGGGAGCGUUCUGUAAGCCUGCGAAGGUGACCUGUGAGGGUUGCUGGAGGUAUCAGAAGUGCGAAUGCUGACAUAAGUAACGAUAAAGCGGGUGAAAAGCCCGCUCGCCGGAAGACCAAGGGUUCCUGUCCAACGUUAAUCGGGGCAGGGUGAGUCGACCCCUAAGGCGAGGCCGAAAGGCGUAGUCGAUGGGAAACAGGUUAAUAUUCCUGUACUUGGUGUUACUGCGAAGGGGGGACGGAGAAGGCUAUGUUAGCCGGGCGACGGUUGUCCCGGUUUAAGCAUGUAGGCUGGUUAUCCAGGCAAAUCCGGAUAAUCAAGGCUGAGGUGUGAUGACGAGGUACUACGGUGCUGAAGUAACAAAUGCCCUGCUUCCAGGAAAAGCCUCUAAGCAUCAGGUAACAUCAAAUCGUACCCCAAACCGACACAGGUGGUCAGGUAGAGAAUACCAAGGCGCUUGAGAGAACUCGGGUGAAGGAACUAGGCAAAAUGGUGCCGUAACUUCGGGAGAAGGCACGCUGGUGUGUAGGUGAAGUCCCUGCGGAUGGAGCUGAGACCAGUCGAAGAUACCAGCUGGCUGCAACUGUUUAUUAAAAACACAGCACUGUGCAAACACGAAAGUGGACGUAUACGGUGUGACGCCUGCCCGGUGCCGGAAGGUUAAUUGAUGGGGUUAUCCGUAAGGAGAAGCUCUUGAUCGAAGCCCCGGUAAACGGCGGCCGUAACUAUAACGGUCCUAAGGUAGCGAAAUUCCUUGUCGGGUAAGUUCCGACCUGCACGAAUGGCGUAAUGAUGGCCAGGCUGUCUCCACCCGAGACUCAGUGAAAUUGAACUCGCUGUGAAGAUGCAGUGUACCCGCGGCAAGACGGAAAGACCCCGUGAACCUUUACUAUAGCUUGACACUGAACAUUGAGCCUUGAUGUGUAGGAUAGGUGGGAGGCUUUGAAGCGUGGACGCCAGUCUGCGUGGAGCCAACCUUGAAAUACCACCCUUUAAUGUUUGAUGUUCUAACGUUGGCCCCUUAUCGGGGUUGCGGACAGUGUCUGGUGGGUAGUUUGACUGGGGCGGUCUCCUCCCAAAGCGUAACGGAGGAGCACGAAGGUUAGCUAAUCCUGGUCGGACAUCAGGAGGUUAGUGCAAUGGCAUAAGCUAGCUUGACUGCGAGCGUGACGGCGCGAGCAGGUGCGAAAGCAGGUCAUAGUGAUCCGGUGGUUCUGAAUGGAAGGGCCAUCGCUCAACGGAUAAAAGGUACUCCGGGGAUAACAGGCUGAUACCGCCCAAGAGUUCAUAUCGACGGCGGUGUUUGGCACCUCGAUGUCGGCUCAUCACAUCCUGGGGCUGAAGUAGGUCCCAAGGGUAUGGCUGUUCGCCAUUUAAAGUGGUACGCGAGCUGGGUUUAGAACGUCGUGAGACAGUUCGGUCCCUAUCUGCCGUGGGCGCUGGAGAAUUGAGGAGGGCUGCUCCUAGUACGAGAGGACCGGAGUGGACGCAUCACUGGUGUUCGGGUUGUCAUGCCAAUGGCACUGCCCGGUAGCUAAAUGCGGAAGAGAUAAGUGCUGAAAGCAUCUAAGCACGAAACUUGCCCCGAGAUGAGUUCUCCCUGAGACUUUAAGUCUCCUGAAGGAACGUUAAAGACGAUGACGUUGAUAGGCCGGGUGUGUAAGCGCAGCGAUGCGUUGAGCUAACCGGUACUAAUGAACCGUGAGGCUUAACCUUACAACGCCGAAG